GACGAACGCUGGCGGCGUGCUUAACACACGCAAGUCGAACGGUGAAGCGCCUUCCUUUUUGGUGGGUGUGGAUGAGUGGCGAACGGGUGAGUAACACGUGAGUAACCUGCCCCCUUCUUCUGGAUAACCGCAUGAAAGUGUGGCUAAUACGGGAUAUUCUGGGUCUGUCGCAUGAUGGGUCUGGGAAAGAUAUUGUUUCGGUGGGGGAUGGGCUCGCGGCCUAUCAGCUUGUUGGUGGGGUGAUGGCCUACCAAGGCGGUGACGGGUAGCCGGCCUGAGAGGGUGGACGGUCACACUGGGACUGAGACACGGCCCAGACUCCUACGGGAGGCAGCAGUGGGGAAUAUUGCACGAUGGGCGCAAGGCUGAUGCAGCGACGCCGCGUGAGGGAUGGAGGCCUUCGGGUUGUGAACCUCUUUCGCCAGUGAAGCAGGCCUGCCUCGUUUGUGGGUGGGUUGACGGUAGCUGGAUAAGAAGCGCCGGCUAACUACGUG
This 494-nucleotide ribosomal RNA is filed under the name uncultured bacterium. Its description in RNAcentral is "partial 16S ribosomal RNA". It matches the Rfam family "Bacterial small subunit ribosomal RNA", at positions 28 to 507 of the family's 1533-position model. The record is from RNAcentral.